GAUGAACGCUGGCGGCGUGCCUAAUACAUGCAAGUCGAGCGAACAGAUGAGAAGCUUGCUUCUCUGAUGUUAGCGGCGGACGGGUGAGUAACACGUGGGUAACCUACCUAUAAGACUGGGAUAACUCCGGGAAACCGGGGCUAAUACCGGAUAAUAUUUUGAACCGCAUGGUUCAAUAGUGAAAGACGGUUUCGGCUGUCACUUAUAGAUGGACCCGCGCCGUAUUAGCUAGUUGGUAAGGUAACGGCUUACCAAGGCGACGACACGUAGCGGACCUGAGAGGGUGAUCGGCCACACUGGAACUGAGACACGGUCCAGACUCCUACGGGAGGCAGCAGUAGGGAAUCUUCCGCAAUGGGCGAAAGCCUGACGGAGCAACGCCGCGUGAGUGAUGAAGGUCUUCGGAUCGUAAAACUCUGUUGUUAGGGAAGAACAAAUUUGUUAGUAACUGAACAAGUCUUGACGGUACCUAACCAGAAAGCCACGGCUAACUACGUGCCAGCAGCCGCGGUAA
This 514-nucleotide ribosomal RNA is filed under the name uncultured bacterium. Its description in RNAcentral is "partial 16S ribosomal RNA". It matches the Rfam family "Bacterial small subunit ribosomal RNA", at positions 28 to 523 of the family's 1533-position model. The record is from RNAcentral.